RNAcentral lists this ribosomal RNA (449 nucleotides) under Occidozyga baluensis. Its description in RNAcentral is "partial 12S small subunit ribosomal RNA". It matches the Rfam family "Bacterial small subunit ribosomal RNA", at positions 880 to 1525 of the family's 1533-position model. Lineage: Eukaryota; Metazoa; Chordata; Amphibia; Anura; Dicroglossidae. The record is from RNAcentral.
UUACGAGCCUAGCUUAAAACUCAAAGGACUUGACGGUGUCCCACCCCACUAGAGGAGCCUGUCCUAGAAUCGAUGCUCCCCGCUAUACCUCACCACUUCUUGCUUUAUCAGCUAGUAUACUUCCGUCGCAAGCUCACCAUAUGAGUGUGCACAGUGGGCACAAUGAUACUUACACCAGCACGUCAGGUCAAGGUGCAGCUUAAGAAGUGGGCUGAGAUGGGCUACAAUUUCUAACUUAGAAUAAACGAAAUACUGAAUGAAACCAGGUCAUGAAGGUGGAUCUAGUAGUAAAAAGAAAAUAGAGUGUUCUUUUUAAUACGGGCACUGAGACACGUACAAACCGCCCGUCACCCUCUUCAACAAUACUAAAAAGUCCCUAACACGUUUUUUUACUCAAGAGGAGGCAAGUCGUAACAAGGUAAGUGUACCGGAAGGUGCGCUUGGAUCAG